UGGCCCCGGAACUUCCAGCAGCAAUCGAUGUUUCAGAAGAGCUGAUGGAUAUCCUCUUAGAAGGUUACUUAUAAGGAGAGCUUUUGUUUUAUUCACUUGCCACAACGUUGGGUUCUAUGUUUUGUUUUUGUCGAGAACGUUGUCGGCGAGUCCGGAUUGUAAUGGAAAAUAACUGCAGUAUUCUCGCAACAAGUCUCGAUCAUCUCUGCGUUGAAGGGAAUGUUGUUAAAUUUGCAGUUCAGUGUUCUUCACCCCAAAGUGUUUUACUGGAAAAUUGUAUGAUGCUUUCGCUGAUUUUGAGUUGUAAAUGUGAAAAGGCUUGCGGAAAUUCUGCAGGCCGAUGUCUAAAAUCUGUAAAAUAUGCACUUUCCGACAAUAACGGGUUAUAAGAGAUUUUUUUGCGGUUCAAGCGGGUUGAGGUGGCGAAGCAGUUGACGUCUGAUGUUAAUACGCUUCAUAGUUUCUAUAGAUAAUUUAUCCACUUUAACAUAUCCAUGUCAUCACCGCAUUGUAUAAAAUGACCCUCCCACCAUUUCAUAAAUGUUCAGUUUCACAAAUAACAUUUGCCAUCACGAUUAUAGAAAUAUGCGGUUACAAGCAAUGCUGUGGACCGCUUGGGAGGGAGUCUUACAAAAUCAAAGUUGUCAAGGCUACUUAAGUAAGAUGUUUUUAUCACAAGGAAACAAAUCUUGAAAAACGACUAACAAUUACACUUUUAAAAUCAGCUGAACGACCUGAAUUCAAAUAGCAUAAUGGUUAGUAAAUUAACUUCGUGGGAGUGUUCGCGUCGACCACUUCGCGUGGAUCUUGGGAAAACGGAAGGAACACUUCACAGGAGGAAGAAGGAAAAGGCUAAAGUGGAAAGAUAUAUGAUAAACAACAUUCACAGUAGAUACAAAGAAACACAAUAGAAUCAAUGAAAACCACACACAAAGACAGACAAACAACCAACGACAUCACUGUAGGAGUUCCUCAGGGAAGUGUCCUAGGACCAACCAUCUUCAGCAGUUUCAUCAAUGACCCUCCUUCCGUAAAAAGGUCAGCGGGAGGUGGGGGGGGGGAAUGUUCGCACCAUUUGUGUCUCGUCAGAUAGUGAGGCAGUUCAUACCUGAUGAACCAUCAAUAACUCUCUGAGACGUGAGCCAAGAUAUCAGCUUUUAUUGACUGGAAGAAGGAACAAGCAGUAAUUGACCACCAUGCUACAUCCUGGAGACUGAGAGGCAGCACUCAGGCCCCAAUCGCCUUUAUACCGGGGUCAGUGGAAGGAGCCACAGGAGCUGUCAGCACGGGGAGCGUGUCCAGACAGGUAUAUGUAGUUCACCACAAUACCCAAGUGCAGCAGGACCUCGACAAUACCCAGGCUUGGGCUGACAAGUGACAAGUAACAUUCAAGCCACGCAAGUUCCAGGCAAUGGCCAUCUCCAACAAGAGAGGCUCUAACCAUCGUCCCUUAACAUUCAGUUAUAUCACCAUCACUGAAUCCCCUACUAUCAACAUCGUGGGGGUUACCAUUGACAGGAAACUGAGCAGGUCUAGCCAUAUAAACACUGUGGCUACCAGAGCAGGUUAAAGGCUAGGAAUCCUGCAGCAUGUAACUCACCUCCUGACUCCCCAAAGCCUGUCCAUCAUCUACAAGACUCGGGUCAGGAGGGUAAUGGAAUACUCGCCACUCGCCUGGAUGAGUGCAGCUCCAUCAACACUUGAGAAGUUUGACACCCCAGCAUAAGGCAGCCACUUGACUGGUACCCCUUCCACAAGCAUCCAAUCCCUCCACCAUGAAUGAACAAUUGUGUAUUAUCUACAAAGUGCAGUGCAACAACACACUAAAGUUCCUAAGGUAGAUCUUCCAGACCCAUGGCCACCACCGUCAUGAAGAACGAGAACAGCAGAUACCUGGGAACACCACCACUUGGAAAUCCCCUCCAAGUCACUCACCAUCCUGACUUGGAAACAUAUCGCCGUUCCUUCAUUGUCGCUGUGUCAAAAUUCCCUCCCUAACUGCACUGUGGGUGCACUUACACCUCAGGGACAGCAGUGGUUCAAGAAGGCAUCUCAUCACCACCUUCUGAAGGGCAACUAGGGAUGGUCAAUAAAUGGUGGCCUAGCUGGCAAUGCCCACAUCCCAUAAAUUAAUUUAAAAAAUCAGCUCAUGGUGGUCCACACAGAAAACUACCUUCUCCUUUCAUGUUAGUUAAGUAGGGCACUUUAAUUAAAUAAUCCAGAAUGGAAAAAAAAUGCAUAUUAGUAACAGUGACCAGGUAACUUUUGGAUUGCUGUUAAAAGCCCAUUUGGUUCAUUAGUAUCUAAUGGAACAAAAUCAACUGUUCACAACUGGCCUGUGGUGAUUCCUCAGCCAGAACAAUGUGGUUGGCUCUUAUUUGCUCUGAAAUCACUCAUCAAGCUACUGAAUUGAAGAGGAAGUAGGGAAAGGCAACAAAUGUCAGGAUUGCCAGCAAUAUUGACAUAUUGUGAGUGAUUGAAAAUAAUGCAUCUUGAAAGGACCUGCCUUAAAGCAACCUUUCAUAAAAUUCACAAUUCAUAUGCCAACACAUAAUGUAGUAAUAUUGUAUGUGCAUUGCACUCCAUUCUGAAACUGGGCAUCCCUGACAUCAAUUAAACAGAAUUUUAGUAGUAGAGUUUCACUUGUGCACAUCGCAUCUUUCAUUAGGUGCACAUACAUUUCUACCCAGUCUGUUUUAUUUGGAUUUAUUUGGAGAUGCAGCGCAGAAUAGGCCCUUUUGCCCUUCAGGCUGUGCCACCCAGCAACCCCGACAACUCCUGAUUUAACCUAUUCACAGGACAAUUUACAAUGACCAAAGAACCUACUAGCUAGUAUUUGGACGGCGGGAGGAAAGUGGAGCACAUGUAGAAAGCCCAUGGGGAGGAUGUAUGGGCUUCUUACAGAUGUCAUUGAAUUGAACUCCAAACUCCGAUGCCCCGAGCUGUAAUAGCAUCGUGCUAACUGCUACACUACCCUGGUGUUACUGGUAGAUUGGCAAAUGUUGAUAAAGGCAAAUAAACUUGUUUUAAAGUGCUUGGGAUCCUCCUUAUCCAUCUGACAAGCUACAUUAUGGUUAACAAUACAUGUGACUACAGCUCUCCUCAAAGCCAUGUAUUAGGAGCUUAUUGACAAGGGCUUGGGCUAGUGACCACCUGAAUAAUGAAGUGGGAGUAUGAACUGAGGGUAAACUUCAAAAAUAAAAUAGUUUUUGUCUAUGAAAAACUAAAUAUGAACAAAAAUUGUAUUCUCUUCAGUUUAAAACUGUUUUAUUACACCAUCAAUACUUAGAAGAUUAUUUCAGUUUAUGAGAACCCUAGCCAAAUCAAAUGACCUUGUAUUUGAAUUAGAUGAUAGAGUACAGCUACCACCCAUUUAUUCCAACUAAUCCACAAGCCUCCUCUGUUUUCCCGUUCCCCUCAUCCUUUCACCAUUAUAAUUUCAUAUUCCAAUUAUUCCUAGGUGUUUUUGCUGAAGUUCUGUAUGUAGUGCGCUAUGUUAAUGGAGUCUCUGAAAUUAGAAAAAUCUUUUGAGGAAAAAUAUUUCAAUAAAGAGCAUUUGGUUCUUUCAAUCACUCAGACACAGAAGGGAGUAAUGUACUGAUAUUUCUGAUUUUGGAUAAGACCAUCACAAUCAAGCAUUUAGAUGUCACAGUUCUUCAUCAUGCAUUGACAUCGUCCAAUUCCAGUAUAUUAUUCUGAAAGUCUUUGUAAUAAUUGGAGUUUUAUGUUUGCACUUGUAACUGUUAUGGUUGGGUGAAAUGUUCUUUACUGAAAAGCAAAGUAUUUGUAUAUAAAACUGGAAAAGACACUGUACAAAGUAAAAUGCUGGUGUUUGGUUGUUAGGAGAUGUCAGUUAUGAUACCACAUGAGCUUCAGUUACAUGAUUAAGCUUCAAUAAGUAUUUAAUUACCGAUAUAUACAGUAUAUUAUGAUAUAAUAAGAUUAUAAAAGCUGCUACAUUAAUACAUUAUUUCUUCCAUUUACAUAUUAGCAAUCUUAUCAUCUUCCAUUCCAGCAUCAUAAUUUCCAUGCACUACAUUUGAUUGGGACUGUUCAUUUUCUUACCUCCUUUAUCUUGUGACUUCAACCAGUAAUUGCAUAAUCCAGGCAGAUAAAGCAUUUCCAAUUUCUCUCAGAAGCAUAGAUGGCUCUCCAAAAUUCACACGUAAAACUCACUCAAUGUUCCAAACUCAAAUAUGCCUCCUGGCACUGGUCCCUGUGUAAUACUAUUAAAUACAGACCUCUUGCACAAAUAAGACCCUUGAACCAGCACCCUCUGUCUUCUACGCACAAGCCAGUUCUGAAUCCAAACAGCCAUCUUAACCUUCUGGGUUAGCCUCCCAUCAGGGAUUUUAUCAAAUGCCUUACUGAAAUCAUGUAGACAACAUCUGUGGCCCUACCAUCAUCAAUCUCUCUCAUCACCUUGUCAAAAAACACAAUCAAGUUGGUAAGGCGCGACCUGCCCCACUCAAGGACAUACUAACUCUUCCUAAUUAGACCAUGGGUUUCCAAAUGCUCAUAUAUCCUAACUCUAACAAUUUUCUCCAGCAAUUUCCCUACAAUUGAAAUGAGACUCGCAGGUCUACAGGUCCCAGGAUUUUCCCUUGUUCCCUUCUUGAAUAGAGGUACAACAUUAGCCACUCACCAGUCCUCUGGGCCCUUGCCUGCCCUUCCAAUCAACUUUGGACAGCUCUUCUUUCAUGCCUCUGUUGUUACUUUUACUCAACUGUAAUAAAAAUACCCUCGUUUGCUGAGCCACAAGCUGUUCUAAAACCUAUAUUGGUUGAUAUUCUACAAAUUUCUUUCCUUGGGAUUCAGAACCAAACUGGUUUUUCCUGGACUACAUAUUUAUUAGGUCCCUGAUGAUCACCGUGAUAUUGCCUUUCUCCUGUUGUAAUUUAUACUGACAUCUUGGGUACUAUUUGGAGGCCUGUAUAUCUCUUUAAUUCAGGGUCUUUUUACCCAUGUAGUUUACUGACUCUAUCAACAAGGAUUCUGCAUCAUCUGAUCCUAUGACACCUUGUGAUAAGGAUUUAAUUUCAUUUAAUACUAAUAGAGCCAUCUCACCCCAUCAGCCCAAUGCCUUUUCUUCCCCAAGGAUGUGUAACCUUGGAUGUUUAGUUCACAGCUAUUGCCUUCUUUCAGACAUGACUGCACUAUUGUCACAAGAAUUCAACUCCACUUCUCCCACACUAAUCUUUGAGUCACAGAGUUAACUCUUAAUCUGUGUCAAUAUGUGCAUGGCUUGGGCAACAAUCCAAAGUUAUUACCUUUUUUUGUUCUUUUUUAAAUGUAGUCCAUAACUGCUCAUAAUCCCUCCGCAUAACCUCUUUCCUUGUUCUGCUUGUAUCGUUGGUACCUACAUGGACGAUGACAACUGGAUUCAAAUUCCUCUGCAGGUCAGAUGAGUCAUCCCAAACCUGGGCACCAGGCAGGCAAUACAGCCAUCUAGUCCCUCAAUCUUUGCAACAGAGAACUGUGUCUAUACAAUUCUGUUCCCUAUUACGACCACAUUUUUAUUUAUUUAUAUAUAUGCAAAAUCUCUCCCUCUCUCACUCUCCUCCCCUCCCUCUCCCCCUUCCCCCUCCUUUUGGAUGGCUCCCUAAAUCACAUUGCCACGAUUAGGCUGCUCAUCCUUCUUGCAUUCCCCUCCCUUCCAUCCUCCUGUAUCCACAAGGAACAAGAAUCUCUGAACAUAAAGUAUACUGCAGAUGCUGUAGUCAAAUCAAGAUGUACAAACAAGCUGGAUGAACUCAGCAGGUCGGGCAGCAUCCGUUGAAAUGAGCAGUCAACAUUUCGGGCCGAGACCCUUCCUCAGGACUGAAGAAGGAGGGGGCAGGGGCCCUAUAAAGAAGGUGAGGGGAGGGUGGAAGGUGCCAGGUGAAAAACCAAUCAGAGGAAAGAUCAAGGGUUGAGGGAGGGGAAUCAGGGAAGGGAUAGGCUGGAGAGGUGAAGAAGGAAUGAAAAGGGAAAGCACUAUUGGGUAGUAGAAGAAGGCAGAAUCAUGAGAGAGGUGAUAGGCAGCAAGAGGAGGAGGCAGAGUGAAAGUGGGAUGGUGGAAGGGAGAGGGAGGGAAUUACUGGAAGUUGGAGAGUUCGAUGUUCAUACCAAGGGGCUGGGGGCUACCCAGACGGUACCUCAUAUACCUGCUUAAUUCAACGGAUGCUGCCCAACCUGCUGAGUUCAUCCAGCUUGUUUGUACAUCUUGACAAGAAUCUCUGACCUGUUGGGCAAGCUCAAGGGCUACGGCUUCUCCAGCACCACCUCUUGGAUCCCUGCACCUACCUCAUAUGCAGUCACACCCUCUUGUUCUCACAGACUGAAUCUAAAGGGUGUGACUGCCUCCUGAAACAGUGUCCAGGUAAAUCUCCUCCUCCGUGAUACAUCAGUGUUUGAAGCUCAGCUUCCAGGUCAUCAACUUUGAGCCCAAGUUCCUCAAACCAACAUUUGUUGCAGAUGUGGUCACCAUGAAUCACAAUGAGUCCAUCAGCUACCAUAUCAUACAAAUACAACACACCUUCUUCUGACUUUUAAUGACUGUUGGCAAUCCAAUUUAGGGUGCAUUACUGCCACCAACUGGACUGGAGUGUGGUGUAGAGAAUGGGAAGAUAAAAUUCUUACUAGCUUGCUGUGUCUGCGCCCAGGUAUACUGUAUAUAUCAAGUAAAAACGCACACACUGGCAUGUUCACGUUGCAAUGAGAGAGGGAACAAUGUGCAUGUGUAGACAACAAAUCAAUAUGUAAUGCUAAGGGGGGAAUAUUUUUGGUCUAAAAGAAAUAGAUCCAUAUAUUACACUUCCUCCCCCUUUAGAUUAAUGCAACAUAAAACUGAAUGUAAUAUAUAUAUAUAUAUAUAUAUAUACAUACACACACACACUUUCCCUUUCAUAAAUCCAUAUUCCAAAUAAACAUGCCUUCACAAUAACAGUCCAUAACUAACUUCACAGUUCCAAAAGCUCAGUAUUUUGGGUGUGAUGCACCAUCAAUAACUCACUCUGAGAUGUAAAGGCGAGAUAUCGGCUUUUAUUGACUGGAAGAAGGAACAAUAGUGAGUGACCACCAUACUACAUCCUGAAGACUGAGAGGCCGGGCUCAGACCUCAAUCGCCUUUAUACCGGGGUCUGUGGGAAGAGCCACAGGAGCAGUCAGCAGGGGGCAUGUCCAAACAGGUAUAUGUAGUUCACCACAGGGUGUUUCUUUCAGGAUAGCGCCUCUGGACCUGUGGUGUGGCAUCAGGUUUAUCUUAUCUAAGACAGCGUUCACAGUUUCCAGUGUUAUUUGCUGUCAGUGACAUGAUCAUCACUGAGAGGUGAGUCCAGUGACUGCAAUGUGUCUGUCUUGUUGGAUCCGGUUGACUCAGGUGUGUUUUUCAGUUGAGCAUCCAGUAUCUGGUCCACAUGAUGUCUCCAUGUCUGAUUUCCAACAUCCACUGUGUACAUCAGCGGUCCAGUUCUUGUUGCUAUCCUACUGGGUGUCCAGUUGUUUUCUUGGCCUACCAGCCCAAUCUCAAAGCUGCUUGCUGUUUCACUUGACCACUGGCUGAACUGUUUAUUCUGUACUUCCCUCUGCAGAUCUAGUUUCAGGAAGUCAAGGAGAGACCUGAGAUUCCUGCUCAUGAACAGCAUUGCAGGUGUUUGAUUUGUCGUCGCAUGAACAUAGUUCUGAAACACAAAAAAUAAGUUGUCCACCUAGUGCUGUAGAGAAACGUCCUCCUUGUCCUUGCUUUAAUGGACUUCUUGAAGGUUUGGAUAAACCAUUCAGCUAACCUAUUUGUUGCUGGGUGGUGAGGAACUGACUUGAAAUAUCUGAUGCCAUUUUUCUUUGGGGAGGGAACAAUGCGCAUGCACAGACAACAGAUGAAUACACUGUGUUAAGAGGGGUAUGUCAUUGCUCUAAAAGAAAUGGAUCCAUACAUUACUAGUUCAUUAUCAAAUUAAAACAGUUAUCUGAAAAAGCUACACUGUAAAUAAUGAAAGACAAUACUGUGAAUUAAAGUCAUUUCCAUAACUUAAUAAAGUUUAUAAAUGAAAAUUGUCAACCCCAAAAAUAGUAGUGUAGCCUGCAUUUGAUUUCUUUGAACCUUACAUGCUUCACAUUGUAAAAGAAUGUGUUCAACUGUUUCAUAAUAAUGACAAAACCUAC
Hypanus sabinus (Atlantic stingray) is the source of this 8142-nucleotide long non-coding RNA. RefSeq lists it as uncharacterized. NCBI's taxonomy places the organism in Eukaryota, Metazoa, Chordata, Chondrichthyes, Myliobatiformes, Dasyatidae. The transcript is spliced from 3 exons. The record is from RefSeq and is a predicted model, not a curated record.